RNAcentral lists this ribosomal RNA (253 nucleotides) under uncultured bacterium. RNAcentral describes it as "partial 16S ribosomal RNA". It matches the Rfam family "Archaeal small subunit ribosomal RNA", at positions 474 to 727 of the family's 1478-position model. The record is from RNAcentral.
UACCAGCACCCCGAGUGGUCGGGACGAUUAUUGGGCCUAAAGCCUCCGUAGCCGGUUCUCCAAGUCUUCCGUUAAAUCCACCUGCUCAACAGAUGGGCUGCGGAGGAUACUAUAGAGCUAGGAGGCGGGAGAGGCAAGCGGUACUUAGUGGGUAGGGGUAAAAUCCGUUGAUCCAUUGAAGACCACCAGUGGCGAAGGCGGCUUGCCAGAACGCACUCGACGGUGAGGGAUGAAAGCUGGGGGAGCAAACCGG